UCGCCCCAACUCAGCACCCGCAACAACCCAGACCAGUUGCCCCACACCCAUUCCCACCAACCAGUAAUGAUUUCCAAAGGCUGUCACCCGCUUCUCACGACGAGAAAUCCAAUAAGCACUUGCUCCGCAGCGGCAACAAAACGCAUUGUUGUCGCUAUUUUCACGUUGAUUUCCCUUAUUGCCACGGGAAAACCGGUGCUGGCCACAUUCAAUUGAUUUUGAGUGAUUUUUUGGCAAGUACCCUGUACGUACACCGAACAUGGAAUCUUAUUUAAGGGGAAUAUUGGU
RNAcentral lists this long non-coding RNA (288 nucleotides) under Drosophila melanogaster (fruit fly). Its description in RNAcentral is "long non-coding RNA:CR44472 (Dmel_CR44472)". Lineage: Eukaryota; Metazoa; Arthropoda; Insecta; Diptera; Drosophilidae. The record is from RNAcentral.